This 328-nucleotide long non-coding RNA is filed under the name Lotus japonicus. RNAcentral's name for it is "long non-coding RNA (LJAP_LNC000264)". The record is from RNAcentral. Lineage: Eukaryota; Viridiplantae; Streptophyta; Magnoliopsida; Fabales; Fabaceae.
CUCUAGCAUUUGCAGUAGUAUUUCCAUUGUGGCAACACUUGUAGCUGAUGAACACUUCCAUUGUGCGGUGACACUCUGGGCACUCAAUGGUGUCUGGAAUUUUCCCAUUAAUGUUAGGAAUCUGAAGGUGGGAGCAAAUGUGAAGGCUGCUAGAAACCUUGUCAAGAUACUCUUUGAAGGCGAACUCAAAUCCCUUCUUGAUCACCAACUCCUUCCAUUUCUCAAACUCGGCCACGGUCUUCAAAACCGUGGUUCCGUGGCCAACAGCCACCACAAAUGGGCCCUUAAUAAGAAGGGCCCACCCGGUUUCGCCCUUGUAAGAGAGCAA